Bradyrhizobium elkanii is the source of this 91-nucleotide non-coding RNA. The record is from Rfam. NCBI's taxonomy places the organism in Bacteria, Pseudomonadati, Pseudomonadota, Alphaproteobacteria, Hyphomicrobiales, Nitrobacteraceae.
ACCCGUCACGUCGGGAGAGACCGGCCUUACCGCCGGCGCCGAAGGAGCAACCGCCCCGGAAACUCUCAGGCAAAAGGACCGCGUGACGUCU